GUGCCCUUGAAUAUCCUUCCUAUUUAGAUUUGUCUGUUUGUUUGAAGAAUCAGGAAUGCAUGUCUGGGCGUGACAAGAGGCUAAAGAAAGCAGCCGGAUACGUGUGAAGAGGGGAAUCGAUUUUCCACAGUGAGAUGCCAGAAACACUGAUAAAUCAGGCAGAAGCCACAGCAGAGGAAGGGAGUUCAACGGGUCUGACUUUCUGAGUGCUAUUUACCAAGAUCUGAGCAAGCCUCAGUUUGCCUGCUCUCCACCUCCUUCCUUCUCUGACAGAGUGUCCAUGAAAGGCUGCUUUAGAAGAUGCUCCCUAAGGACAGACAAGCCUGCAUCCAGAAAAAGCCAUGAAAGGACCCGCCAGAGACUGAGAAUCAAGAGGCCUGCUGACAGCCUAAGAACCUCCCACACUUCCUCAUAUUUUCCUGACACUCCAUCUUAUUUCCAAACAAGAAAGAGCAUAUCAUUCCAAGCAGUCAGCUUUGGAAUGAAUUUGUUUUUCUCAUCACUUCUGCUGUAUUAUUUCACUCCCUCCAGGCACAAGUCGCCAUUACAGAUGAACCAUUUUUCUCUGAGUAAAGGAAAUUGAAUUGGGCUGCAUCAAUAAAUGGAGCUCCAAUUUUUUUCCAUAUUUCCCAACAGCUCUGCAGAUGGUAUUAAGAAACAGGCAUCUGUGUCUCCCUGUUGAAAAAAACAGGCUCUUCUGGAACUAUGGGCUCCUUGUGUUGCUGCUAGGUAACCAAGAAACUAGAGGCAGCAGGACCCAAUCCUUCACCCAGCACACCAGCCAAGGGCCUCUCUCUCUCACAUUCUACUUGUAUGCUCAAAAGAGAAACACAAAUGGCAAGAAAUGCAAGAAAAAUGUCCAACCACUCUAAGUUUUGCCUUUCAAAUUAUCAAAGAUUUUAAAAAACGGUUAUACUCAGUUCUGUAGCUACAUAAGAGACAUUCAUAUAUAUAUAUAAUUUAGGUAGGAGAUGGAGAGGGUGAAAGGUAUUUUUGUCUAUUUAUGUGAUCGAAUAAUGUAUGUCCGUUAAAAUUAAAAUAGUGGAGGAAUAUUUAAUGCAUAGACAAAUGUUCAUGUUAUAUUAAUAAGUGAAAAAGCAGAUCACAAAAUAGUAUCUCUAGGGCUUCCCUGGUGGCGCAGUGGUUGCGCGUCCGCCUGCCGAUGCAGGGGAACCGGGUUCGUACCCCGGUCUGGGAGGAUCCCACGUGCCGCGGAGCGGCUGGGCCUGUGAGCCAUGGCCGCUGGGCCUGCGCGUCCGGAGCCUGUGCUCCGCAACAGGAGAGGCCACAGCAGAGGGAGGCCCGCAUACCACAAAAAAAAAAAAA
This is a long non-coding RNA of Physeter macrocephalus (sperm whale), 1326 nucleotides long. RefSeq lists it as uncharacterized. The transcript is spliced from 4 exons. NCBI's taxonomy places the organism in Eukaryota, Metazoa, Chordata, Mammalia, Artiodactyla, Physeteridae. The record is from RefSeq and is a predicted model, not a curated record.